This is a long non-coding RNA of Biomphalaria glabrata, 8569 nucleotides long. RefSeq lists it as uncharacterized. The transcript has 4 exons. NCBI's taxonomy places the organism in Eukaryota, Metazoa, Mollusca, Gastropoda, Planorbidae. The record is from RefSeq and is a predicted model, not a curated record.
CCAAACCUCCCGCAGGGUGAUGGGGGAUGGGAGCAGGCAGGGUUUGAACUAGAGACCAUCGAUAAAUCCGAUCGACAGUCCAGCGCGCAAACUGCACGACCUGGCAGUCAGGAUCAUUAUCUGGACUCAUGACCACUCUAUCUGUAUAGGUCCUGGUAUACCCUGGGAUGAUGUUAACUUUUAACUUGAAAUCUUAAAGGAAGUUUUGCUAAACUAACAAGCAUGAAUGUCUGGUACAGUAAGAUAGGGUUAAUGGUCAACCUGACAUUAUGGUUCAUUCAUUUGGGACAGCUAAUGUUUGUGUCUGAUCAAGCAGUUCUCAAGUUAGGGCUUGAUGAAGUCUACAAACUGACCAUUAUAUCUACUAGACAAAAAAGGAUCUUAUAUGUAUAUUUUAAACCUGGUCAAUGCCUAUUUCUCCACUAUUGUCGACAUCUUGAGACAUCACCAUCGACAGAAACCGAAGACGGCUGAUACAUUUGUGUGGGUGAAAAACUGAAGGCGUCGCUCGAAGACAGCUGAUACAUUUGUGUGGGUGAAAAACUCAAGGCUUCGCUCGAAGACAGCUGAUACAUUUGUGUGGGUGUAAAAUUCAAGGCGUCGCCUGAAGACAGAUGAUACAUCGUUUCCACGUGAGCGCUCGUCACCAACUUUUGACACGCUCUUGCAUUGUCGAGGUUUCACCUUACAUUGCUAUACAGAAGGUCCUCCAUUUAGACCUCUGUUCACUUAUGGUCAUUCUAAUUUUUCAGAGACUUUACAUAUUUGGAUUAUCUAAGCUGAAGUUCUCCACUUAAGUACUGUUGGAUUAUUUAUACGAAUGUUCAAGUACUUUUGGAUUAUUGAUCUUUGACGUUGAAGUUGGACUAACUUGUACCUAUUGGCGCUCUCCUAGUCAUCGUUGUACGCCGAAGAAAUAACACAUGCCUGCAUUACUACACUUACAUUUUGGAUUAUCUUAUUGGAUUAUUUGGAUUACCUGUUGGACUUGUGUUAAUUGUAAAGGUCAAGAGGAAAUAUUUUUUGACAUUACUUGAGCAUUUGAGCCAUCUUAUGGCAUAUGACUGGAUUAUUUUACUACUACUUUGAUGCUCACAUUGAUGUGUAUUCUCAAUCGGAUUACUUAGUUACCUUACCCAUGGAUUAUUAUUGAACUACUCAAGCUGUAUUUGUAUUUGACAAGCUACAAGAGAGGAUUAAUCUACAUCAGUCUACAAAAGAAAGUCUGUAAUUUAUAAUUAAGGAUUGAAUAUAUUCAUAUGAUUAAUAAAGUACAUUGAUUUUGCUGUGGUAUAGCAGUAAUUGAAGUUGAUUAUAUAUAGAGUUAGUGAUUGAUAACUCUUGGAACCAUAUUAAAUUGAUUUUCAUUUUUUAUAUUUGUUACCUUAUAGGGCGGUCGGCGUGGGUCUGUCUUAUGUUUUGAGACUGAAUCGGCACAAUUUAUUUGUUCCGUUCCAUUUCACUUCAUCUGAUAGGGAUCUUUAUGGAUUUUCUUGUUGUUCUCCUAGUCCUAAUAAGGUCCGAGUAGACCAGCCUUGUUCGGUAGGGACUUCUAUAUCAUUUUGAAAUUUUUUGUUUAGUGGUAUAUAGUUUUGUUUGUACAAUCGUAGUGUGAUUUCUCUUUGUAUUCAUAUUGUUUGUUUGUGUAAGUCUUGUAUUUACAUAUCUGUGAUUCUCUUGUCAAAGUCUUCUAUUUAUUGAUUUCUUUUAAAGCAGACUGUAUUGUUAUCUAUAUUGUUUUGUGUUCGUCACCUAUACUUUAAUUUAUCUCUUUAUUCUCUCAUUAAUUAAUUUUUUUUUCAUUUUUUCACUGCACAUAUAACAUGUUACAAAGAUAUAUUUGAAGUAAUAAUAUUGUGUACAUAUAUACUAUCACUUGAAUUAGAGCCUUAUUUUUUGAGCUCUUGUACUUAUUUUGUAUUGACACAUUUCUCGUACUCUGAUUAUUUUGUUGGUACAUUUUGACGCAACACUUAUUACUAUUGACUCAUUUGUACAUUGUAUUUGGCACACAUUGAUUACAAGCUCAACACAUUUAUUGGCCAUCUAUUAUUUAAAUAUCAAAGAUACAUGCAAAGUGAGACAUUAUUAUUUGUAUUUUGAUAACUAAGCACUCACUACACAGUUAAACUACAUAAAGAUUGGAAUCCUAUAUAUUUGUUGACUUUAUACACGUUGAAGAUUAUUUAAUAUUUAUUGACAUUAUACACACUUAAAGCCUAAACCCGUACCUAUCAACAAUGUCUACCUAUGAUAAAAUCUUGGAGUUGGCCAGAGAAAUGGAAUUGAAGGGUGAAAAGAAAAGAGAAUUUAUCGAAAGAGAAUUGGAUGAAUUAAAGAAGAAAGAACGUGAAGUAGCGGAACGAGAUGAAUGAGCGUCAGAAAGAGCGCAUCAGAAAGAAAUGAAAGAAAUAGAGGGAAAAGUUGAGUUAGCUAAACUGGAAGCUGCAAAAGUGAAUCCGAACAUAUUACAACCACUGACACAGCAAGCCAAACCAUACGUCUCGAAGUUCCAUAAGUUCAAUGAGAAAAACGAAACUCUUGAAAACUACAUUGUGCAAUUUGAGCACAUAGCCUCAACGUAUGACAUGUCACCUAGAGAUAUGGCCAAGCACCUACUCGCCAAUCUUGCAGGUGAACCGCUGAACAUAAUAGCCACCCUGACACCUGAACAAAAGACUGACUACAAGGCUGUGAAAAACAGACUCCUCGAACACUUUGGCAAAUCCGAGGACCACUACAGAAAACUCUUUCGAGACAUCAGAUUGCAAAAGAACGGUGAUUACAACAGAAUUAUUUUUGAAAUUAAGAAAAAUAUCUUAAAGUGGCUUGAACUCUCCAACUGUGAUAUGACGAGACCAGACCAAAUCAUUGAUAUGUUCUUAAUUGACAGUGUACUAUUGAAUGUUACAGACAACAUUUUCACUUUCCUGAAAGAGAAGAAAAUUAAAAACGAAACAGAACUCAUAACUAACCUGAAUUUAUUCAAAGACAGCCAUCCCAAUCACACCAUCGACAGAAGAGACCAUCAAAUAGCUGCCACCAUUAACACUGAUUCAAGUAAAUUCAAAUACAGCAGCAACAAUAAAACCUGCUUUAACUGCGUCAUAAAGGGUCACAUAAAGAGCCAAUGUAGAUCAAUCAACAGAAGCAGUAUCAAAAUAUGACAACAGAAGAAACAGCAGAGCAACCCAAAGUUACAGCCCUAAUGAUAGAAGAAGGCAAUACAACACCAACAACGAUAAUUACAACUUCCAGAACUAUCAAAGAAGACAGCAAUACAAUACCAACAACUUUCAGAACUAUCACAGACAAUCCAGACGUGAUGGCUACGAACGAAACAGAUACAACAGAAAUACUUCAAACAGAUGGCAAAGUAACAGCAACAAUAGAAUCCAUAGACGCCCUAGCAGUUAUGACAACUCAGCCACAACCAUCGACACUCACGAACACGAACAUGUAGCAUUCAUGAACUCAACUCCAGAAAAUAAUUCCUAUCCAUUACUUACAAACGGGCUGGGCAACGCAUCACGAAACAGUAACAUUAGAACUGGAAACACACAUGACACUAGUAGUUAGCAAGCUAGACAUAGGGCAGCACAACAUACAAUUUUGUUUAUUAUACAAUAGGAUACAACACCAUCACAAAUCAUUAAAUAUUAGUAAUAUAACUAAACAAUGACAUUGUUCACAUAAGUCAACAACUAUAAUUAUCACACUAUUUUACAUAACACUAGCACCGUUAAGGACUCAUUAGCCAGUACAAGUGUAAUUCAUUGAAUCUGUUGAUGCCAUAUUCUACAUAUAACUUUGAUUGUAUUUGUACACAUGACAUUUCAAAAGGUCAUAUGUGCCCAAUUUUUGCAUAUGUGUAAAUUAUUUUUCCAAGAGUCCAUUUGAACAGAACGCAGUCAUAUUAAAACCUGAGUAUGUGACACUAUUUAUUGAAAUGUAUUUUUCAUUUUUUCAAAUGUACAUAACCUUUGUAAAUUGUAUAGAUAUGACUGUGACAUUGAUCUUCACUGAUGAAUUUAUUUUUUCCCACAUAUCAGUUUUGAAGAUUAUUUGAGCUUAAUUCAAGGCUUGAAACGAUACACUUGAUGAUAUGUAAUGCAAACAAUGAUUUUUUGAAAAGAAUAUUGUAUUAAUUAGUGAGAUCUAUUUGAGCAUUACUGAUGGCUUGAAAAAUAAUUGAUACUGUGUAAUGCAAACUGAAUCUUUGAAUAGAAGAUAGUACUUAAUAUGAGAAGUAUUGGAGCAUUAUUGAUGGCUCAUGAAGUAAUAUAUAUAAUGUGUGAUGUAAUCGCUGAUUUUUUGAGAAGAUUGUAUUUAAUAUGAGAAAAUUAUUUGAGCAUUAUUGAUGGCUCGUGAAGCAUACAUUUGAUGUUUGUCGUAGACACUGACUUUUUGAGAAGAUUGUAUUUAAUAUGAGAAAAUUAUUGGAGCAUUAUUGAUGGCUCGUGAAGUAAUAUAUUUGAUGAUGUGUGAUGUAGACACUGAUAUUUUUUGAGGAGUAUUUAAUGACAAAACUUUUGGAGCAUUAUUGAUGGCUCAAGCAGUAUAUUUUAUAUUAUGUGAUGAUAACACUAAUUUUGAGAAGAAUAUUGUAUGGAUAUGAGAAAACUAUCGAAGCAUGAUUAAUGGCUCGAAGUAAUAUACUUGAUUUUUGAAAGAACAUUGUACUUGAUUCAUGAAGACUAUUGGAGCACUAUUAAUGGCUCAAAGUAAUAUAUUUGAUUUUUGAAUAGAACAUUGUAUUUGAGUGAUGAAGACUAUUAGAGCACUAUUAAUGGCUCGAAGUAACAUAUUUGAUGUUACAUAACGUGAAAAGCUGAUUCAUUUUUUCGAGAGAAGAUUGUAACUUACACUUAUGUUAAAAGAACUUGUGCUCACAGUAAGACAUAUGAGCCAAAUGAAUAUCAUGAUAACGACCUUGAUGCUUUAAUAUGCUUAUGACUUUGAUGAUUUAAAUAUGUUCCUCAUAAAUCAUCAUUAAAGAAUAUAUUUUCUUGACUUUCAUGAUUUAGUAGCAUUGUCAAAACAUUGCCAUUAUUUUUGUACAUAAACCAUUGAGACAACAUAAAUAUUUAUUAUAGAUACAUUUCACUUGCAUUGAUUUAUUUUAAAGAACAUUGUCAAUAUCUUUUCAUUUGACCAUGUAACCAUUGUCAAUAUUUUUCAUUUGAUUAUGUAACCUGAUGGGAUAAACUAAGUAUAUUUGUAUACGAGCAUUUUUCAUGGCUGCUCAUUCCUUUGUAAAAUUAAUAUUGAAAGCAUUCUUUUGAUAAAUUGAGAAUUUACUUUGAAAUUUUGUGUAAAGAAACACUUGCUUUUUGAGUAAUGUUGACAACUAUGAGUAUUGUCUACACAGACAAAUAUUUUUUCAAAUAUUGUAAGGUCAAAUGAGACCAUAUAUUAGUCUCAUCAAAUUUUUUGAUAGCAUGAUAAGACAUGUGCCAGAGAUUAUAGCACACAUUGUACAUUUGUAUGGAUUAUUUCUCUCUCAAAAGAUGUGACUAUACAUAUAAUAGUAUUAUUACUUAAAUUUCAAAAGAUUUUUACAAAAUCUUUUUUUUUUGAGGGAAAGGGCGUAAUGUCACAGUCUUAGUUGACAUUGCAUGAUCUAAAGUUCACAUCAUGUUAAUAGUUUAAAAGACACGUGGAAUUCCUAAUGUAGAAAACAGGAAGUAGAAUGAAUAAAGUUGACUUUGAAGUCAGUCAGUCAGUCAAGUAAAGCAGUCAAGUGAAGUCAAGUUAGAAGUCAAGUGUUAUUCUUUGGACCGAGUGGUCAAGUAUAUUUUAGUCCGGGAUGGACAGUAGCGACUUAGAAAAGUCUGUAGUAAUUUCAGUUAGAAAGUAACUUGUGGGCAGUUGUUGCCAGUGGUCUUUUGAGACAUGUAUUAGUUAAUCUAUAUUUCUGCACAGUGUUGCCCGCUGAGAUGCGGACAUGAUUUGUUGUUAACGUAUUGGAUACUUUUGAUACCGCUGUUAUGCUGAUAGGAUUAUUAUUUCUUGACUUGUAGCACUAACAAGGAGUGCAGUAUAUUAUUAUUAUUAUAGUAAAAUAAACUUCAUGUUGUCUGCUGAACGGACUUGAGUCAGUCGUAUAGUGUUUGUCUUGUCACGUGUCUAGAGUACUUCAGGAAGUAAGAACUCAAUAUUACACCAUUCAACGUUCAUUGACAGACCCCCUCCCUCCCAACCAUUUCCUCUGCCUUAUCUUGAUGACUUUGACUUUAAUUAGACAUUAAGCUUUCCAUGUGCUGAAAUUUAGCAUUGUAGAACGGGAAAUAAAUUGUCUAUGACAGUUCAAAGUGUGUAUACAUUUUUUUUGACACACCCUGUAAAUAUAUUGUAUUCAGUGAUUUUUUUAUUUUACCAUUUUCUAAUAUUAGUUUGUUAGCUCAAUAACUAUUAACCUUUUAGAUUGUUAUCUUUCGUAAUGUUAAGACUAGAAAACAAGAUCUCAAAAUUAUAUUUAGGACUAUGAUUACAAUUACUUAGUCAAUUACUUAGAUAAAAUAAUUAUAAAACAAAAGUUAUAUAAAGACAUACUUAUACAAUGUUUAUAUUUUGUAUGUUCAUAAAAAUGUGUAUAGCAGUGUUAUGGAGUGUGUGUGUGUGUUUCCAAGGUAACGUUGAGAAAUUAGCGAUUGGUUGGCGGAUAUGCAGUGAGGAUGGUGAAAUUACAAAAAUGGUCUAGUGUAAUGCAAAUUACCCAGGGAUCUGAAACUGUACAGACAGGUUUUUUGUAGUGAGUUAGAUUUUGUUUAAAAUACUUAAAAUACCAUUUUAUAUUAUUGCUACUAGAUUUAUUUCAUUUCAUCUAGGUUAGUAUUAAGGUUAGUGUUAUGUUGUAAUAAAAGUUAUAUUUAGUUUUGUUUCAUAAAAAGAAGAUUUUUCAAGUUUCACAAUUAAAUAUAUAUAUAUAUAUAUCCAAGCAGUAGUUCUCACCAAACUUUCCUACACUGGCAGAACUACCUUAAAAAAAUGUUCUGCUGGAGGCUGGUGUGGGUAGUAUAGAAGAAAUACUUAUCAUUCAACAGCUGUGAUGGGUUGGAAAAUUAUCCCACAUGGGGGGCGACUGCAUGCCAAAUGGUAUCUUCAAGGAUGGCGUAACGGGAUGCUCCUGUAAGCACUAUAAAGAUUAAUUUAGGCACCUUUUUGCCAUAGAGGAAAGUAGGUUGUAAUAGGGUUUAUGAAAACACUGCACUCAUCUUUUAUCUUCAGCAUCAUUAUUAUUAUUAUUAAACUAUUACUCAAAUUUUGCUUUGUUAUUUUGCCAUGUAGAGAUUUACUGCUGCUGGGGUGAACAAUGCUUAAAAAAAUACAAAUAUGCUGUGUUUUUACUUUGGCCCAGCCAUGCCGUGUUUUUACUUUGGCCCAGCGGUGGCUCCCACAUUUAUGUCUUGUAUUUUUCUAUACCAGUUCUGUUACUGUGCAAAUGCAAAAAAAAAAAAAAUACAAGUUGUUGCACUAUUGAUAUUUUUUAUACUAAUUUUUUAUUUAUAUUAUUAAUUAUUUAUUAUUAUCUAAGCAUCUGUUUGUAUUUGAGCUGGGUAAUGAAUAUAGAUUCUUAAAUUUAAUUGUUGUUUGUUGCUUUCCUCACUUUUAAACUGUGACCAUGUAAAUUUUGUCUAGAUGGAGAAUGGUAAUGUCUUAGUGUUAUUGAUUACAUUGAUAAUGGUAAUGUGUUAGUGUCAAUGAUAACAGUGAGAAUGGUAAUGUCUUAGUGUUAUUGAUUAGAUUGAUAAUGGUAAUGUCUUAGUAUCGAAGAUUACAUUGAGAAUAGUAAUGUCGUAGUGCCAAUGAUAACAGUGAAAAUGGUAAUGUAUUAGUGUCAUUGAUUAGAUUGAGAAUGGUAAUGUCUAGUGUCACUGAUUAGAUUGAGAAUGGUAAUGUCUUAGUGUCAAUGAUAACAGUGAGAAUGGUAAUGUCUUAGUGUUAUUGAUUAGAUUGAUAAUGGUAAUGUCUUAGUAUCAAUGAUUACAUUGAGAAUAGUAAUGUCAUAGUGCCAAUGAUAACAGUGAAAAUGUUAAUGUAUUAGUGUCAUUGAUUAGAUUGAGAAUGGUAAUGUCUAGUGUCACUGAUUAGAUUGAGAAUGGUAAUGUCUUAGUGUCAAUGAUAACAGUGAGAAUGGUAAUGUCUUAGUGUUAUUGAUUAGAUUGAUAAUGGUAAUGUCUUAGUAUCAAUGAUUACAUUGAGAAUAGUAAUGUCUUAGUGCCAAUGAUAACACUGAGACAAUCAUUAGAUUGAGGAUGGUAAUCUCUUAGUGUCAAUGGUGUAAUACUAUGAUUAGAGUGAAAUGGGUCUUACACAUUGUCAAGCAAAGAGGUACCAUUUUUGAUCACGCGACCACAUUUUUUUUUAGUAAGUUAGCGCCAUGAUGUAUCAAGAGACGGAGGUGUCUCUGUUUUCUGAAAUUGGAUUAAAUAAUAUGAGUACCUAAUUGGAGCUUUUUCUAUGGAUGUAGUUUGUAUUUGAUGUGAAAUAAUUCGCGAUGAUAUUUUAUGGCUGAGAUUGCCUACUUUCUGAACUAUUAUUUGAUGUAAUAAAUAUUUGUCUGCCA